RNAcentral lists this long non-coding RNA (3578 nucleotides) under Salmo trutta (river trout). RNAcentral describes it as "lncRNA (ENSSTUG00000001568.1)". The record is from RNAcentral. Lineage: Eukaryota; Metazoa; Chordata; Actinopteri; Salmoniformes; Salmonidae.
AUGUUGGGUGAAAUCUGUUCAUCUGUCUUUCUUUGUCUCCACAGCCUUGUGAUUGGUAUGAUCAACAACUGCGUACAGAGGCUGGUCUCGGAGCUUCCCCUGCUCAUUCCUCUACUGCACACGCUCAGACAGCCGGGAGCAGACGCUGGCAGGCUUGGUCCUACUAUAGAGGAGAUGAACUGGGCAGGGCUUGAAAAUGUUAAGUUCAACAACUUCAGAGAGAGGAUCAGAAGCUUUUCUGACAAAAGAAGGAUGAUGCUCACUUUGAUCCAGAAUCACAUUUCUGUGGCUAAAGAGAUGCCUCUGGUUUGGACCAGCUGGCUGUCCCUGGUGGCCUUUGAGGACCUUCCGAAAUUCUCCACCCUGAAGAGCAUACCUCCAGAACACAUGAUCCAGAGCCUGCUGUACAGGCUUCGACAGUAUGGGGAGAAUACUGAUGUCAAAACACAAUACAAUGUAGAAGUAAGUUAUGGAUGAUUAAUAUCUGAUAAGGUUACUCAGUUAAAGAGUAGUGCUAUUGUGGUGGAUCUUUAAAUAUUCAUUUGUGACAUUAUUAUUUCAACUUCCAGGUUACUCAAGAGAUCCUGUGCUUUGUACUGGAGAAAGUUGAAGAGGAGAAGGAAAGGUAUUGGAAUUUGAGAUCUGUGAGCAUGAGUCCUUUGAGUGUUAUAUUAUUCUGCUAUUGUAUGUGUGGCUUUUGUUUAUAGGCUAGCAGAUUCUGGGUACGUGGAGUCCAUCCUCUUGAGUUGCAUCAGUGUUCUGAAGAGCACUUGCCGGAUGGCGCGACUUGUCCCGUUGUACAAGGCAACAGUGCUAUCCUUCCAACUAGUGCUGAAAGCGGCUGAAAUUCUGGAUGCUGCUCUUGCAAACAAGGUAGUUGUUGAUCUGGUAAUUUGCUGUUCUAUUUAUACCCCCCUUUUUCUCCUCAAUUUCGUGAUAUCCAAUUGGUACUUACAGUCUUGUCCCAUCACUGCAACUACAGUACGGACCCAGGAGAGGCGAAGGUCGAGAGCCAUGCGUCCUCUGAAACACCACCCUGCCAAGCCGCACUGCUUCUUGACACACUGCUUUCUUAACCCGGAAGCCAGCCGCACCAAUGUGUCGGAGGAAACACCGUACAAUUAGCGACCGUGUCAGCGUGCAUGCGCCCGGCCUGCCACAGGAGUUGCUAGAGCGCAAUGCUGCAAGGUCAUACAAGCCCUCUCCUAACCCAGACGAGGCUGGGCCAAUUGUGCGCUGCCUCAUGGGUCUCUCGGUCACGGCUGGCUGCGACACAGCCCGGGAUCGAACCUGGGUCUGUAGUGACGCCUUAGACCACUGCUCCACUCGGGAAGCCGUCGCUGUUGUUCUUUGAGGUCCAAUAGUAUGCCUAAUGGUGUGUGUGUUCCUCCCCAGACUCCGGAUGUUGAGGAGAAGAGACCUGAGCAGUUCCAGCUAUCUGACAAGCUUGGGGACGUGCUGCAACAUCUCAGCCAGUGGAGAGACAAUCUUUUUCAGAAUGCUCUCCUGAAACAAGGCACUCAGUCCAAAUCCCUCAGCUACCCCAAAGAAAUAGAGGUACUGUAGCCAAACUAGCAGACAUACAAGACCUUAGCAGACAAUAUUUGUUCCCAGACGUACACAGUUUUCUGUUAAUUAUAAACCUGUUUGUAUGUGUAUGUUCACCUUGUGUUGGUAGAUGUGGGAUGCCUUCCUGAGGGUAGAAUGCUCUCUGCAGAGUGUGUCAGCCCAGUGGAGGUCCAGCCUGGACAGAGACCUGAGGAAGAGGAUCUCUAGGGUGAGUGUAUAGGCCUACAGACCAGGUCAUACAUUCAGGAAACCUAGGAGAGUUUUGAGAUUUGAUUAGCUGGACACAAUUGGUCAGAUUCACUAGGACACAAAUCAAGAAUAGUCCUGGUCUAAAGAGCACAUUCAAUGUUCUUUAUUGAGCAUUAUUUUUAGUCUAGGAUUAGGCUCAAUCUGUGUCAGGUAAACAGGCUGUGUCUUUCCUACUAUGCGGUGCCUUUUCUGUCCCCAGGAAAUAUCACUUGUUAUUUAAAGUAAAAUGUAGAUUCUAAAAGGCUUUAAAUAUAAGGUCAGGUGUCCUUUACCUUAACAACUCAAAAAUAUGGAUCUUGAAAGGGAAUUUUAUGCAUUUUGAAAAUGUCCCAGGGUGUUAUUUGUCUACUUCUACGAGAAUUAUAAGCUAUAAUUUGUUUAAAAUCUUUCAUUAGAGUAUUUUUGUCCAAAAUACUUGGACUCGAGUCACAAAUUUGAUAACUUGAGACUUGACUUGAUAGAAAAUAAAAUAACUUCAGACUUGGAGCAACAAGACUCGGGACUCGACUUUGACUUGAGACUGAUGAUUUGAAAUGAUCUAGCCAGGUUUUGUAAUGUUUUGGCACUCAUUCUGUGGCAGAGUUUACGUGGAUUACUCUCCACGCAGCCAGAGACAGUAGCCGCAGUAUCUCCCUUGCAAAAAAAGGUGCAACGGAUUGGGUAGUGAAAUGCACACUCGGCACUGUGAUUGGACCAACAAACUGUCAAUCAACACAGGUGUCAGGAGGUCUAUGUGUAGCUGGUGUAUAGGAGUCAGGCGCAGGACAGCAGAUAUGAGUAAAUAACCGUAUUUAACUCAACAUAUAAUAAAUGCAAUACAAAAACAGAGGCCACAAUAACAGACCUACCUACAUAGAAACAAUCACUCACAAACAAACAUGGGGGAACAGAGGGUUAAAUAAUGAAUAGGUAAUUGGGGGAUUGAAACCAGGUGUGUAAGACAAAGACAAAAUAAAUGGAAAAUGAAAAGUGGAUCGGCGAUUGCUAGAAGGCCGGUGACGUCGACCGCCGAACGCCCGCCCAAACAAGGAGAGGGACCGACUUCGGCGGAAGUCGUGACAACAGGUCGGAUGGUGAGCUAGCGAACAAUUGCUGAUUUGCUGUACAGCAAAAGGAUCGGGUGCAGCACAAACGUCAAAUUAUAGGAAGAGAGGAUUUCCAUACUGAAUAAAUAUGCAGCUCGAAAAAAAUUGGUGAUCAAGAAUAUUAACUGUUUACUUUGCAAGCCCAUCAGCAAUUACUAACAUAGGCCUACUGGUAUUUUGUUAUGUAACAAUUGCUUAAAAUGUAUAAUUUACUUAUGAAGUUUGUAUUUGGAAUUUGCUGUUAAAAUUUGUUAUUACUGUGGCGAAGAUGCACCAUAGGCACAGCUCUUCACUUCACUCUUCACCAAACUCCCGCCGGUGGAGAGAGCUUUUUUUCUCCUGUUGAAAUGUUUGCUCUUGCUUUCACACGUUUAAAUGCAUAGGCCCUGUGUGGGAAAUCUAUAUUCCGUUUAAUAAUACAAUAAUUGCUAGCGUUUCAUAAUUCUAUCUCGUACCAUUUAUUGCAACACCUAGACAUUUCUGUUUGAUAGCCCUACCAUUGGGUUAGUGGUUAGAGCGUUGGGCCAGUAACUGAAAGGUUGCUUGAUCGAAUCCCAGAGCUGGUAAAUAUCUGUCCCUGAACAAGGCAGUUAAUAUGCUGUUCCUAGGUCGUCAUUUUAAAUAAGAAUUUGUUCUUAACUGACUUGCCUAGUUAAAUAAAGGUUAAAUAAAAAA